This 658-nucleotide ribosomal RNA is filed under the name uncultured bacterium. RNAcentral describes it as "bacterial SSU rRNA". It matches the Rfam family "Bacterial small subunit ribosomal RNA", at positions 28 to 669 of the family's 1533-position model. The record is from RNAcentral.
GACGAACGCUGGCGGCGUGCCUAAUACAUGCAAGUAGAACGCUGAAGAGAGGAGCUUGCUCUUCUUGGAUGAGUUGCGAACGGGUGAGUAACGCGUAGGUAACCUGCCUUGUAGCGGGGGAUAACUAUUGGAAACGAUAGCUAAUACCGCAUAACAAUGGAUGACACAUGUCAUUUAUUUGAAAGGGGCAAUUGCUCCACUACAAGAUGGACCUGCGUUGUAUUAGCUAGUAGGUGAGGUAAUGGCUCACCAAGGCGAUGAUACAUAGCCGACCUGAGAGGGUGAUCGGCCACAUUGGGACUGAGACACGGCCCAAACUCCUACGGGAGGCAGCAGUAGGGAAUCUUCGGCAAUGGGGGCAACCCUGACCGAGCAACGCCGCGUGAGUGAAGAAGGUUUUCGGAUCGUAAAGCUCUGUUGUAAGUCAAGAACGGGUGUGAGAGUGGAAAGUUCACACUGUGACGGUAGCUUACCAGAAAGGGACGGCUAACUACGUGCCAGCAGCCGCGGUAAUACGUAGGUCCCGAGCGUUGUCCGGAUUUAUUGGGCGUAAAGCGAGCGCAGGUGGUUUAUUAAGUCUGGUGUAAAAGGCAGUGGCUCAACCAUUGUAUGCAUUGGAAACUGGUAGACUUGAGUGCAGGAGAGGAGAGUGGAAUUC